This 212-nucleotide long non-coding RNA is filed under the name Gossypium barbadense (sea-island cotton). RNAcentral's name for it is "long non-coding RNA (GBAR_LNC015397)". Lineage: Eukaryota; Viridiplantae; Streptophyta; Magnoliopsida; Malvales; Malvaceae. The record is from RNAcentral.
GGAAAGCAACCAAACAAUCUUCUUAGACUUAAUUCAUCACGUGCAACAAGUUGCACCAACCUGGAUCCUUAACUGGAGCCAAAUAGUUGCUGAACGGAUUGGGUUCAGCCAAUAGAUGUUGAAUUAGGCCUAUGAAUGACUCCUUCAUUUUCUUGGCCUUAGCUCGCGUAAUGGGACCCAAAGGAAUUUUAAGGGCAUCACGAACCAUUCUU